This 425-nucleotide ribosomal RNA is filed under the name uncultured bacterium. RNAcentral describes it as "partial 16S ribosomal RNA". It matches the Rfam family "Bacterial small subunit ribosomal RNA", at positions 354 to 796 of the family's 1533-position model. The record is from RNAcentral.
GUGGGGAAUAUUGGACAAUGGGCGAAAGCCUGAUCCAGCAAUGCCGCGUGAGUGAAGAAGGCCUUCGGGUUGUAAAGCUCUUUUACCCGGGAAGAUAAUGACUGUACCGGGAGAAUAAGCCCCGGCUAACUCCGUGCCAGCAGCCGCGGUAAUACGGAGGGGGCUAGCGUUGUUCGGAAUUACUGGGCGUAAAGCGCACGUAGGCGGCUUGGUAAGUUAGGGGUGAAAGCCUGGAGCUCAACUUCAGAAUUGCCCUUAAGACUGCUUCGCUUGAACACGGGAGAGGUGAGUGGAAUUCCGAGUGUAGAGGUGAAAUUCGUAGAUAUCCGGAGGAACACCAGUGGCGAAGGCGGCUUCCUGGACAGUAACUGACGCUGAGACGCGAAAGCGUGGGGAGCAAACAGGAUUAGAUACCCCUGUAGUCC